Molecule: unclassified non-coding RNA, 214 nt
Filed under: Hevea brasiliensis (rubber tree)
Lineage: Eukaryota; Viridiplantae; Streptophyta; Magnoliopsida; Malpighiales; Euphorbiaceae
Source: RNAcentral
GGCAAACUAGAGGGGCAGCAACUGAAAUAUCCAAGGCAGAUAGCACGAUUACAUCUUCAGAGAAGGUUGGUAUUGCCCAGCAAUGGUAUGAUGAAAUCGACCACCUAGCCUUUUCAACAUCAGAAAUUGAAGCAACCAUAGAAGAGGCUACGAUGAGCUGUGGUGAGGAAAUUCCAGAAGGGAAAGUUGAGAUAAGUUGCUCCGUUAACUCAAG